This 426-nucleotide ribosomal RNA is filed under the name uncultured bacterium. RNAcentral describes it as "bacterial SSU rRNA". It matches the Rfam family "Bacterial small subunit ribosomal RNA", at positions 354 to 796 of the family's 1533-position model. The record is from RNAcentral.
GCAAGGAAUAUUGUGCAAUGGGCGAAAGCCUGACACAGCGACGCCGCGUGAGGGAUGAAGACCUUCGGGUUGUAAACCUCUUUUGCCAGGGAAGAAUAAUGACGGUACCUGGCGAAUAAGCUUCGGCGAACUACGUGCCAGCAGCCGCGGUAAUACGUAGGAAGCGAGCGUUAUCCGGAUUUAUUGGGCGUAAGGAGGGUGUAGGCGGCUCUUCAAGUCAACUGUAAAAUCUCUCGGCUUAACUGAGAGGGAACAGUUGAUACUGUUGGGCUCGAGUGCAGUAGAGGAAAGCGGAAUUCCCGGUGUAGUGGUGAAAUGCGUAGAUAUCGGGAGGAACACCAGUGGCGAAGGCGGCUUUCUGGGCUGCUACUGACGCUGAGGCCCGAAAGCGUGGGGAGCGAACAGGAUUAGAUACCCCAGUAGUCC